UUUGAUUUUACGGUCUCUUUUGCAUAUCAAGAAGAAGAAAAAAA
Molecule: small RNA, 44 nt
Filed under: Arabidopsis thaliana (thale cress)
Lineage: Eukaryota; Viridiplantae; Streptophyta; Magnoliopsida; Brassicales; Brassicaceae
Description: ATSL260460
Source: RNAcentral